Molecule: long non-coding RNA, 738 nt
Organism: Syngnathus typhle (broad-nosed pipefish)
Lineage: Eukaryota; Metazoa; Chordata; Actinopteri; Syngnathiformes; Syngnathidae
Exons: 3
Source: RefSeq, a predicted model, not a curated record
GCACAGAGAAGGCUUCUUGUUCUUCAAGGAUUUGGCUGACAAAUAACGCUGAGCUGAGCUGAGCUGAGCUCGGGCGAAGCGAGCUGAGGCAACUGCCAUGACGACAGACCGACUGCUUGUGGUCCCAAGCCUUUUCUACCACCCCGGUUUCCCCUGUGACUGCCGCUGAGGAGAAUGCGGCCUCUCUUGAAGCGCCAGCAUGGAGGACAUUUACCAUGGCAACCACUAAUGCAGUAUAGAUGGAAGGAGGGAGCCUUGUCUGUCUGCCGGCCGCCGCCACGGCAAUAAUACAGGAUUGAUUGAAGUCAGAGUCGGCAGUGUAUUGUUUCCUGCAUCAGCCACCCCAUAAUACCCCAUGGACAUAAUCCCUUGUGAUGUCACCUCUUGAGAACUUGUGUUUCCUCCUCCUUCACAUACUGGAUUACAACUGGACCUAAAUGGCGCAAGGUUUUCUCGUUAAAGGUUUGACUUGCUUUAUUUGACCUGAUGAUGCAUUUGAUUUGUGUUCCAGGCAUCCAGAAAUAAUGCUCAAAACAGAAAUAAGGAGCGAUUUGCAAAAACCAAUGACUCGUCGACAACAGUGCGUAUUUUAACUAUCCCGUGAAACUGUCAACAAAGGUCACAAGUAAAAAAGGUCAAGAAUUUGCUUGGGGGAAAAAAAAAAAGUGGUCAACUGAUGUUUGAUUAGCAAUAUUCUGAGUAUUAGUUUCCAAAUGUGUGCAUUUUGUUGAAGGGAUU